RNAcentral lists this unclassified non-coding RNA (330 nucleotides) under soil metagenome. RNAcentral describes it as "partial contains 5.8S ribosomal RNA, internal transcribed spacer 2, and large subunit ribosomal RNA". The stretch from base 1 to 120 matches the Rfam family "5.8S ribosomal RNA", at positions 35 to 154 of the family's 154-position model. The record is from RNAcentral.
GAUGAAGAACGUAGCGAAAUGCGAUAAGUAAUGUGAAUUGCAGAAUUCAGUGAAUCAUCGAAUCUUUGAACGCACAUUGUGCCCCCUGGUAUUCCGGGGGGCAUGCCUGUUCGAGCGUCAUUUCACCACUCAAGCCUCGCUUGGUAUUGGGCAACGCGGUCCGCCGCGUGCCUCAAAUCGACCGGCUGGGUCUUCUGUCCCCUAAGCGUUGUGGAAACUUUCGCUAAAGGGUGUUCGGGAGGCUACGCCGUAAAACAACCCCAUUUCUAAGGUUGACCUCGGAUCAGGUAGGGAUACCCGCUGAACUUAAGCAUAUCAAUAAGCGGAGGA